Molecule: ribosomal RNA, 252 nt
Filed under: uncultured bacterium
Lineage: Bacteria
Description: partial 16S ribosomal RNA
Rfam family: Bacterial small subunit ribosomal RNA
Source: RNAcentral
UACGUAAGGGGCGAGCGUUGUCCGGAAUUAUUGGGCGUAAAGGGUUCGCAGGCGGCCUUUUAAGUCAGAUGUGAAAUCUCACGGCUUAACCGUGGUAAGCAUUUGAAACUGAAAGGCUUGAGUUAAGGAGAGGAAAGUGGAAUUCCUAGUGUAGCGGUGAAAUGCGUAGAUAUUAGGAAGAAUACCAGUGGCGAAGGCGACUUUCUGGACUUAUACUGACGCUGAGGAACGAAAGCAUGGGGAGCAAACAGG